RNAcentral lists this non-coding RNA (21 nucleotides) under Caenorhabditis elegans. The record is from RNAcentral. Lineage: Eukaryota; Metazoa; Nematoda; Chromadorea; Rhabditida; Rhabditidae.
UUCAGAGGUAAAAAAAAAACG